This 752-nucleotide ribosomal RNA is filed under the name uncultured bacterium. Its description in RNAcentral is "bacterial SSU rRNA". It matches the Rfam family "Bacterial small subunit ribosomal RNA", at positions 8 to 796 of the family's 1533-position model. The record is from RNAcentral.
AGAGUUUGAUCCUGGCUCAGAAUCAACGCUGGCGGCGCGCCUAACACAUGCAAGUCGAACGAGAAAGCCGCAAGGUGAGUAAAGUGGCGUACGGGUGAGUAACACGUGGAUUAUCUACCCUCUAGUGGGGAAUACCGUUGGGAAACCGACGACAAUACCGCAUAAGCUCGAGAGAGGAAAGCAGCAAUGCGCUGGAGGAGGAGUCCGCGGUCGAUUAGUUAGUUGGCAGGGUAAAAGCCUACCAAGACUGUGAUCGAUAGCCGGCCUGAGAGGGCACACGGCCACACUGGCACUGAAACACGGGCCAGACUCCUACGGGAGGCAGCAGUGGGGAAUCUUGCACAAUGGAGGAAACUCUGAUGCAGCGACGCCGCGUGAGCGAUGAAGCCCUUCGGGGUGUAAAGCUCUUUCGGCAGGGAAGAUAAUGACGGUACCUGCAGAAGCAGCUGCGGCUAACUACGUGCCAGCAGCCGCGGUAAUACGUAGGCAGCAAGCGUUGUUCGGAGUUACUGGGCGUAAAGGGUGCGUAGGCGGCUUUUUAAGUUUGGUGUGAAAUCUCCCGGCUCAACUGGGAGGGUGCGCCGAAUACUGAGAGGCUAGAGUGUGGGAGAGGAAAGUGGAAUUCCUGGUGUAGCGGUGAAAUGCGUAGAUAUCAGGAGGAACACCGGUGGUGUAAACGGCUUUCUGGACCAUAACUGACGCUGAUGCACGAAAGCGUGGGUAGCAAACAGGAUUAGAUACCCUAGUAGUCC